This 1799-nucleotide long non-coding RNA is filed under the name Marmota monax (woodchuck). The record is from RNAcentral. Lineage: Eukaryota; Metazoa; Chordata; Mammalia; Rodentia; Sciuridae.
CUAUAAUAUGUUUAUGAUUUGAUUGGUCUUUUUACACUGAUCAUCUCUUUAAUCAUUUUGGGAAAUUAAGAUGCAAUCUUAAAAUAUGAAAGAUUUUACUAAAUAUUAUAAUCUCUAGUUCCAAGUUGGAAAAAUGUUAACAAAGAAAGAAUGUACUAAAAUCAAAAAUUAUGACCUCUAAGACUUCAGAGUCAAACAAAGUGUGUAUCUAUCAAUCUGAUCAGUGUUUAUCUGUUUGGGGCAUUUGCAAAGAAAAUGAUUUAUGUAUUGAACAUGAAAGAUAGAAGCAGAACUAUUCUAUUCAGGGAGCUGUUAGAUCUCUGUUUUAUUUUCAUUAAGUUGACAUGCAAAUGCAACCACCUAUUCUCAGGAUCUUAAUUUUAAGUCUUUAAGAAUUAUUAAAUAUCCAAUUGGUUAUGAUUUUCAGUGCCCAGAAAAUAAUCCUAAUAACACUUAAUAGGAUCUAGGAUAGUGAUCUUCCCAAUCCUAAUAACACUCACUUUUAAAACAUAGCAAAUGAUUUCCUCAAAUAAGAAUGAAACAGAUAUCUAUAGGUACAUCAUAUACAUAAAUGGUACUAUUUAUGUUUAAUUUUUAAUUACUUAUCAAUUUAAAAUAUUUUUUCUGAAGCCCAAAUAUUUAAAAUAGUUUUAUUUUACUAUAUGGACAAAUAAAUAGACAUAACUUUUGAAAGAUCUCUCCCGUCACUUAAGAGAAUCUAAAUAAACUAUCAUCAAUGUAUGAAGUUUAAGUGGAUAAAUAUAAUAAAAUGAGGAUCUACAGGAAACAUUGGUAUCAACACAGUAGGAUCUAGAUACAUAUUUGUUAAAUGAAGAGAUAAUGGCAUUGAAAGUCAUGGGGAAAUAUUUGUUUGUUUCAGUGAAGUGACAGUUCUAGCCUAGUGGUACUAAUUUAUGGAGAUGAUGUCUUAUAUACUAUUUCAGUAAUUAUUCAUACUUAGCACAUAUGACUAGGGUCUUCAGGGCUUUAUAGAACCAACAUAAACCUAUCAUGACACUAAACUUUUGGAGAAAUUUAUCGCUGAACUUUCAUCUGCCUACAGCAUUUCUCCCCUAUAGUGUUAGAGAAAGGAAGAGCUAGAUAGAAGCAGAAAUAGUGGGUAAGAAAAGCCAGAUGUUAAAGAUUCUUCAAGGAAAGCAUUCUGCAAAGGAAUAUCCAGUGUUUUUAUUCCAUUUUAUCCAAAGAUCAUCAAAGGGAUUACAUAGUUCUGAUGGUAUCCACUUUGGUAUAUUUGUGACUUAUUUUAAUCAUCUUUUUGCAUGUUGGUAUUAGCAUUCAACCCCACAAUUUUAUACACCACAUAGAAAAUAGAGAUAAAUUUCAAUUCAGUAAGAAGGAAGUAUGCCCAACAAUCAAGACUGCCUUAUGGAGAGAAUGAACUCUCCCUAGCACUGGAAGGAUUUGAGCAAAGGAAGUUGCUUGCAUUGAACAGAGGAUGGUUUCUUCCCCAGGUUCAUUUCUUUAGUCACAGUGAAUAGGCACUUGGUAUCAGGCAGUCCCACAGCCAGCACAGAAAGAUGAAAAGGGUGCUAUCAUUGUCUUAAAAGGAACUCACAAUUAAGCAGAGAGAUAAAGGAAAGCUUCCUUUCAAUUCCAGCCUGAGUCUGUUUAUACACAUACUACUCUCAACAGAGUUUAUGUGGAUCACUAUUGAUUUAAUGAAAAAUAAAAUAAAAUAAGACACGUUAGCAAAGUUUCCUAGUUGUUUAGUAACUUGACAUGUUUCUCAGAUGAAAACUUUGUCUACGCAUUUGGUUCCCUUUAUAUUACCUUUUUUU